RNAcentral lists this ribosomal RNA (464 nucleotides) under uncultured bacterium. Its description in RNAcentral is "partial 16S ribosomal RNA". It matches the Rfam family "Bacterial small subunit ribosomal RNA", at positions 28 to 507 of the family's 1533-position model. The record is from RNAcentral.
GACGAACGCUGGCGGCGUGCUUAACACAUGCAAGUCGUACGGUAAGGCCCUUUCGGGGGUACACGAGUGGCGAACGGGUGAGUAACACGUGAGUAACCUGCCCACAACUUUGGGAUAACGCUAGGAAACUGGUGCUAAUACUGGAUAUGUGCUCCUGCUGCAUGGUGGGGGUUGGAAAGCUCCGGCGGUUGUGGAUGGACUCGCGGCCUAUCAGCUUGUUGGUGGGGUAGUGGCCUACCAAGGCGGCGACGGGUAGCCGGCCUGAGAGGGUGACCGGCCACAUUGGGACUGAGAUACGGCCCAGACUCCUACGGGAGCAGCAGUGGGGAAUAUUGCACAAUGGGCGCAAGCCUGAUGCAGCAACGCCGCGUGCGGGAUGACGGCCUUCGGGUUGUAAACCGCUUUCAGCAGGGACGAAGCUUUUUGUGACGGUACCUGCAGAAGAAGCACCGGCUAACUACGUG